Molecule: ribosomal RNA, 566 nt
Filed under: Phormidium sp. K9
Lineage: Bacteria; Bacillati; Cyanobacteriota; Cyanophyceae; Oscillatoriales; Oscillatoriaceae
Description: bacterial SSU rRNA
Rfam family: Bacterial small subunit ribosomal RNA
Source: RNAcentral
GUAGUCCUAGCUGUAAACGAUGGAUACUAGGUGUUGCGCGUAUCGACCCGUGCAGUACCGCAGCCAACGCGAUAAGUAUCCCGCCUGGGGAGUACGCACGCAAGUGUGAAACUCAAAGGAAUUGACGGGGGCCCGCACAAGCGGUGGAGUAUGUGGUUUAAUUCGAUGCAACGCGAAGAACCUUACCAGGGCUUGACAUCCCUCGAAUCCUCUUGAAAGAGAGGAGUGCCUUCGGGAACGAGGAGACAGGUGGUGCAUGGCUGUCGUCAGCUCGUGUCGUGAGAUGUUGGGUUAAGUCCCGCAACGAGCGCAACCCACGUCCUUAGUUGCCAUCAUUCAGUUGGGCACUCUGGGGAGACUGCCGGGGACAACUCGGAGGAAGGUGUGGAUGACGUCAAGUCAUCAUGCCCCUUACGUUCUGGGCUACACACGUACUACAAUGCUUCGGACAAAGGGCAGCGAGCGCGCGAGCGCAAGCAAAUCUCAUAAACCGAGGCACAGUUCAGAUUGCAGGCUGCAACUCGCCUGCAUGAAGGAGGAAUCGCUAGUAAUCGCAGGUCAGCAUA